UACGAGACGACUGCCCGCGUC
RNAcentral lists this unclassified non-coding RNA (21 nucleotides) under Chlamydomonas reinhardtii. RNAcentral's name for it is "small RNA Cre_2216". Lineage: Eukaryota; Viridiplantae; Chlorophyta; Chlorophyceae; Chlamydomonadales; Chlamydomonadaceae. The record is from RNAcentral.